Thalassophryne amazonica is the source of this 119-nucleotide small nucleolar RNA. RefSeq annotates it as U8 small nucleolar RNA. The record is from RefSeq and is a predicted model, not a curated record. The transcript has a single exon. Lineage: Eukaryota; Metazoa; Chordata; Actinopteri; Batrachoidiformes; Batrachoididae.
UAAUCACUAAAGUAUAUCUUUUCAUGUUACUCCAGCAAUGGAGUUGCACAACAUUCUGAAUGGAGACAUAUGAAAUAUGAUUUGUGGAGCCUGAAACAUUCCACAACACCCAUUCUGAU